AUGUACCAGACGGAGAUCACAGAGCGCUUCAUUUUCCAUCCACAGAUCCAGAUCACUAAGAAGUUUCCCCCCAGCCCCACCACAGAUGUGAGAAUAUUAACUCCAACCAGGACAGAGGUCAGAGAUGAGGUGGAUCUGCUGAAGAGGACGGGUCCAGAUGUGAAGCUCUCACCUUUUCGUCUGCGUUGAACCCAGUCCUCCUCUCAGAGCUUCUGACCCAGUGUUGAUGUCUGUGUUCAACUUCUCACUUUUACUUCCUGGGUGGUGUCACUGCUGAGACGAGCACAAACACAAAAAGGAGGAUUUAACGGGAAAAAAAACAGAUCUUCAACUGCCUUAAAGACCCAGACGGUGUUUGGUGUUUGAAAACAAGACCCCAGUGUCUACGGUGACUGAGCUAAGGGACUUUUAAAGGAGUAUUUCAAAACACAAGUCUGUUGUAAUCACCUGAAGGGAAGGGAAGGGAAACCCCCCCCUCCCUCCUUCUGACGUCCAAACUACCCACUCAUAUUGACCUUAACCAGGGAUGGAUGGAUGGAAGGAAGGAUGGAAGAAGGAAGGAGAACAUUCCCUGUGGCUGUAGUUGGAAAGUAACAAACAACAAAAAUACACCAUUAAACCAAAAAUAUGACAUACAAAGGCUUUAAAGGUGCGGGAGACUUUUGUGAUGAAAUUUUCAUCAAAUCUGUAAAACCUCAGUCAUAGCCUAAGUAUCACGAAUCUGUAAGUCCCUCUGUGAUUACUCACCUGAAUCUUUUGCAUUAUGAUGAACAAUUUCAAAGUGCCAUCCACCAUAAACAAACCCCAUGUGUUUCAGUGGCAGCUGCUCGUCUUUCAGAGAGGGGAAGCUCAUUGUUGGCUUACAUAAAAAAAUAUGUCAAGUUAUUCAAACAUAAAUUCAGCCCUCCGUUCCUUUUCAAGAAAAUGGUCGUAUCGUACCAAGUAAAUAAAAAAAUGUUGAAAUUAUGUUAAAUUGAAACAAGGAAGUACAAUGAGUGUGUUUUAUUUACAGUGCAAGAAAUGAACAAGUAAUUUUGUAGUAGUUUCUCUCUCGAUUUCACAGCAGAAUGU
Molecule: long non-coding RNA, 1071 nt
Filed under: Sphaeramia orbicularis (orbiculate cardinalfish)
Lineage: Eukaryota; Metazoa; Chordata; Actinopteri; Kurtiformes; Apogonidae
Description: lncRNA (ENSSORG00005009629.1)
Source: RNAcentral